RNAcentral lists this long non-coding RNA (2253 nucleotides) under Marmota monax (woodchuck). Lineage: Eukaryota; Metazoa; Chordata; Mammalia; Rodentia; Sciuridae. The record is from RNAcentral.
GAAAAACAUUAAAAGCCUCUAUCUCUUUAUUUCAGAGACUUGGUGAAUUUUCCCACAAAGCUGCAAUGAAGACAGAGGGAGAACAAAAUCUAUAUAAAGAGAAAUUACAAGAAGGUGUGAUAUAACACUCGAACAUAUAUACUCAUUUUGACAAAACGUGUUUGGAGCUGAAUUCUUUCUCUGCAUUUGAGUCUUUAUAAGAUAAAAGUACAUACCUUUAGGGAACUAUUAGGGAACUAUUAACUCUAAAUCCCAAUACAUGAAGUUAAUUUUAAUUGGCAAAAAGUUAAUUUGACAUUAUUAUUAAAAAUAUCUUUUGGGUUUGUUCAUUUUUUUUUCUUUCUUUUCUUCCUUUCUUUUUUACUUGUAGUUCUGGGAAUUGAACCCAGGGCCUUUCUCUUGCUAAUCAUGUAUUUUACUACUGAUUACACUCCAGCCCAAUUUUCAAGUGUCAUUUAAUUGAUUUAUUCAAGAUUAGUUAUGUUUCAGAGGACAUUUGAUUUGAAAAUUGGAAAUCCUGAGAAAGUCAGCUCUUUAGUAGAUUUUUGAAUAGUUUAACAAGAAAUUUAAGGGCAAUUUUCUCAAGAUUCUCAAAAACAAUAACAAAUAAUGACUAUGGGGAGGGAGAUAUAAAGCACAUGUGUAAAACCGUUAACAAUUGGUGUAGUUGGGUGGAAGUCAUGUGGUAUUCGUUGUACUGUUCUUGUAUAUUUUCCAUAGUUUAAAAAUGUUUCAACUAAUAAAUUUUUUUAAAAGUUUCAAAUUAAAAACUAGAAAAGCAAAAAAUGUUAUCACAUAACUUACACAUAAGAGAUUGUGUCAUAACUCAUGCAUAGUAGAUUCAUAGAAGGGAUUAUUAUGCAGCAUAACCACAACUAUAAUAAAUAUACCAAACAUAUCAGUCUAAGAAGUUUUGGAUGAGACCUACUAUUCUAGCAAAUUAAGGCCUAGUCUCUACCAUGGUUGGACCCCAGACUGGUAUUCAUCUAACACAUACUUAAUUAACAAUUACUGAAUAUGAGACUCUUUACAGGGCUUAUAGCAACCAAUAUUGUAGACAAAAUUUCUGCCCUCCUGGAGCUAGGAAAGACAUAAAAAAGCAAAUACCCAUACCAUUGAUUGUGUAAUGGUAAGUACUAGAAAGAAAAUGAAAAUUACUAUUACUUUGAUAGGGUAGUCAGUGUAGGCCGGCCUCUCGAGAGGUGACGUUGGAGUAAAAGCUUGAGCAAACCAGGUGUGGGCUCUGUGCAUCUGGAGAGAAGUUUCUAUGCAAAGACCAUGAGUCAGGUGGAUAAGCAGCCAGUAUGACUUAAUGAAAUGAAGGAUAGGAACCAGCCAGAAGAUGAGACUGGGCAGGUACUAGGGCCAGAUCAUGGUUUGGCCUUAUGAACCAGUAAGUGAACAGACAUUGAGGAGAAAAGAUCUUUAAUAGAAUGUAAUAUUAUCAAAAUCUUUGUUCAGAAAACAGUUUGGUAUUUUCUCAAAAUGUUGAACAUAGAAUUAUCAUAUUACCCAGCAGUUCUACUUCUAGGUAUGUAUUCAAAAUAAUUGAAAGCAGAGUCCCAAAGAGAGAUUUGCAUACCCAUAAUCAGAACAGUAUUAUUCACAAUGGCUGCAAGGUGAAGCAAAUUAAGUGUUCAUUGACAAAUCAAUGAAUAAGCAAAAUGUGAUAUGUACACAUACUUGGAAUAUUAUUGAAUUUUAAGAAGGAAUAAAAUUUUGAUACAUGUUACAACAUGGAUGAAACUUGAAAAGUGUUAUACUAAGUGAAAAAGAAAGAAAAAAUACUGUAUGAUUCUGCUUAUAUGAGAUACUCAGAAUAGACAAAUUCUCAGAGAAGAAAAGUAGAACAGAGGUUACCAGGGUCUAAGGGUGGUGAGUAAUGGGGAGUUAUUUUUUAAUGUGUGUGGAGUUUCUGUUUGGAAUUAUGAAAAAGUUCUGGAAAUGGUUAGUGGUGGUAGUUGCACAAUAUUAUGAAUAUACUGAAUGCCACUGAGCUGUACAAUUAAAAUGGUUAAAAUGGCAAAGUUUAUAUUAUACAUAUUUUAGUACAAUCAAAAAACUUUCUUUAUUUCUUCAUUAUUCCUAUUAUUUACUUUAUCCUCUCAAGUAACUGUUUACAAGGACAAGGACUUUAAGAUAUGGAUACUUUCUAGUAGUAUUUUUUUUUAUAUUGGGAAUUAAACCCAGGGACACUUUACUACUGAACCACGUUCUUAGCCUUUUUUAUUUUUUUGAGACAGGAUCUUGUUA